GCGGCUGUAGCUCAGCGGACAGAGCACUGGUCUUCGGAACCAGGUGGCGGGGGUUCGAAUCCCUCCAGCCGCGCCA
Molecule: transfer RNA, 76 nt
Filed under: Pseudomonadota bacterium
Lineage: Bacteria; Pseudomonadati; Pseudomonadota
Also listed under: 2 other names
Description: tRNA-Arg
Rfam family: tRNA
About the family: Transfer RNA (tRNA) molecules are approximately 80 nucleotides in length. Their secondary structure includes four short double-helical elements and three loops (D, anti-codon, and T loops).
Source: RNAcentral